RNAcentral lists this ribosomal RNA (757 nucleotides) under uncultured bacterium. Its description in RNAcentral is "bacterial SSU rRNA". It matches the Rfam family "Bacterial small subunit ribosomal RNA", at positions 8 to 796 of the family's 1533-position model. The record is from RNAcentral.
AGAGUUUGAUCAUGGCUCAGAAUCAACGCUGGCGGCGCGCUUAACACAUGCAAGUCGCACGAGAAAGGGGAGCAAUCCCUGAGUACAGUGGCGUACGGGUGAGUAACACGUGGAUCAUCUACCUUCUAGUGGGGAAUAACCCAGGGAAACCGGGGCUAAUACCGCAUAAGCUCGAGAGAGGAAAGCAGCAAUGCGCUGGAAGAGGAGUCCGCGGCCGAUUAGCUAGUUGGCAGGGUAAAAGCCUACCAAGGCAUAGAUCGGUAGCCGGCCUGAGAGGGCACACGGCCACACUGGCACUGAAACACGGGCCAGACUCCUACGGGAGGCAGCAGUGGGGAAUCUUGCACAAUGGGGGAAACCCUGAUGCAGCGACGCCGCGUGAGCGAUGAAGCCCUUCGGGGUGUAAAGCUCUUUCGGCAGGGAAGAUGAUGACGGUACCUGCAGAAGCAGCUGCGGCUAACUACGUGCCAGCAGCCGCGGUAAUACGUAGGCAGCGAGCGUUGUUCGGAGUUACUGGGCGUAAAGGGUGUGUAGGCGGUUGUUUAAGUUUGGUGUGAAAUCUCCCGGCUCAACUGGGAGGGUGCGCCGAAUACUGAAUGACUUGGAGUGCGGGAGAGGUGAGUGGAAUUCCUGGUGUAGCGGUGAAAUGCGUAGAUAUCAGGAGGAACACCGGUGGUGUAGACGGCUCACUGGACCGUAACUGACGCUGAGACACGAAAGCGUGGGUAGCAAACAGGAUUAGAUACCCUAGUAGUCC